This 8036-nucleotide long non-coding RNA is filed under the name Lactuca sativa (garden lettuce). RNAcentral describes it as "long non-coding RNA (LSAT_LNC006936)". The record is from RNAcentral. Lineage: Eukaryota; Viridiplantae; Streptophyta; Magnoliopsida; Asterales; Asteraceae.
AUAUAAAGAACGCCGAAAACGGAGUUCGUAUGAAGAAGUUAUGAAUUUCCGAAGUUUAUUAAUCAUUUUGUAUUUAAAUUUAAAUCAAAAUCGGAAGCCUUAUCCGAAGACGAGUCACCGGUGUGAUCCGGAGUACGCCCCGCGUACGAGGGUACGCUACCGCGUACUCAGCAUAGUGUCGACACUUCGGAUGACGCAUGCAGUGACGAUUUCGGAAGCAGUACGCGCUGCGUACUGCAGUACGCCCCGCGUACUCCGAGGCUCCAGCCUCUAUAAAAGGGAUCCGAAGGCAACCGAGAGUUUUGUUCAUUUCUUCUCUUCUCUCUCCCGUUUUGCAUCGUUUUGCGUGCCAGAAAUACCCCGAAGCCCCGGUAUCAUACUCUAGCCCCGAGGCAAGUCCCGAGAUCCCGAAGAUCCCGAGAAGUGCGGUUCCCGAGUCGAAGCUCUGCCCGCGAGAAGUUCGAUUUUCGAGGAGAUCUUCCAGAUCUGCUGAGGAUUACUACUUCUAUAAGCCGUAGUGCUGUCGGAUCAUCUUCUGAUCAAGUGAGUGUGUAGUUAUUUUCUUCUAAUACAAUAAUACGAAGUAUUUUAUAUAAAAAUACGUGCUAUGUGUAUAUAUUUGGUUGUGUUAUGUGUGAAUGUGUAUUCACUCUCUUCUAUCUUAUAGAUCUGCUUAUUUCUUUAUGAGAUAUGUGUUAUGUGUGUGUGUGCCUCAUCUGUUAUGUGAUAUAUGUGUUGAUUAAAGCAUGCUAUACAGGUUUUCUUUAAACUAUGUAUACAAAUGUAUAUUUUUAUCUACUAAUAUGUUGGGUAGAACAUGGGUAGACAGUUGGUGUGUAAUAAACAGAUGAGAGGCCUCGUUGUUGUUUGAUUGAGUCAUCUAGCGGAGUUUAGAUGACGACCACUGGCUAUUCUAGACAGUCUUGUGGAAACAUUAGCAGGUUCGCCACCUGUAGGUGUUAAUGAACUUGGGUGUUCAUUCGCUGUACUCCAUCCCCCUCAUGGUUGCCUUAUUUGACUUAUAUUGCUGAGGUACCCCCGAAGCAUGUGUUGUCGCCCCGAUGAAAUAUUCUUAGACUAGGUCCCUUAUGUUAGUUGUUUUAGGGACAUUAAAGUGAGAAUAACGGGAAUGGGUAAUUGGGUUAUUGUUGGUUGGUGAAAAUUAAAUAUGAUAUUUAUUGUGGGUUGAAAACCCUAUAUGCUCACCAGGCUCCCAAGCCUGACCCACUCAGUUUUAAAUUGUAUUACAGGUAGUGGCGGAAGGGCAUGAGAUGGAUGAACCAUCAAGUUGUUUUGUUUACAAGUCUGCAUAUGUUUAUAUUUGUUAUAUGACUUGUAAUGUAUUCGUUUAUGCUUAUUGGUCUGUAUCGGAACAUGACACCCCGAGUUUUGAUUAUAAUGAAAAUACAUUUCUUUUAUGAAAUGCUUCGGUAAACAAUGUUUUAUCAUGUUUUGUUUUUGGGAACAAAUUCCGCAACUCUUUCAAAUCAAAAGGAUUUACUCUGAAAAUAUUUAAAAGCAUAAAUGAAAAUCGGUCUUUUCUGGCCGAGAUUUUGGGGAUGUCACAGUUGGUAUCAGAGCAUUAGUUUAAGCGAACUAGGAAUUUGUAGGAUUUCUAGACUUAAACUUAGAAUGCUAAGUGAAGUUUUGAGAUGUGUGUCUGUUGUGAUUUAGACACGAGCACUAGUUUAUUUUAGGAAAGUUGCCUAAAAUGCUUUAUGUGCUAAAUGUUAUAUGUUGCCAUAUAUGAUAUUAUUUGUUCGGAUCUAUGGUCUGUUGCCGACCGGAUCUAGAAACCUUAUGUGUGUAGGAUUCUAAGCGUACGUCUACGAUAUUAGAACUAGCAUGUAAACGUUUCGGAGUGAUAAGGAUGAUUUGAAUAUCUAUCAUGAUUGAGGAUCUAAUUUCACCUUAUUCGGUGUAGAUCAAAAUGGUGAGAACAAGAAGUGGAGUUGGAAAUGCUGACGAAAACAGGAAUCAACCACCAGUGAUUGAGCCAAUACCUGUCGUAGCAGCAGCACCUGAGCCAAUAACCAUGGCUGGUGUGCAAUUGAUGAUUCAGACGAUGUUGGAUCGUCAGAUGGAUGAAACUAGACGGUUGCUUCAACAAAAUCGUGAAGAACUGUCGAUUCGUGUGGAAGAGCCUGAACUGAAUGAAGGGCACUCGGAAGGUGGAAACUUCAGUGGGUCUGUUGGUCCAGCCAACCCACCGAUAGUUAGGCAAGAUAACCAUGAUGGAAGGAAUGAUGGAAUGGGAUGCAAGUACAAGGACUUUUUGACUUGUAAACCAUCGACCUUCAAUGGAAAGGAGGAUCCGAUUGGGGUUAUGGAUUGGAUCUCCGAAAUGGAGUUAGCCUUUAUGACAUGUGGCUGUAGAGGCAAGUUGCAGACUAUCUAUGCCGUGCGACAAUUCCGAGGUGGAGCCGUUCGUUGGUGGAACACUCUAGGGAAGACCUUAAGCCCUAAUGAGCCACUGCAAUUGUCAUGGGCAGAGUUCUUGGUGCAGUUCAAGCGCAAGUUCUGCUCGGCUCAAAAUCUGUUGGAGUUGGAGAACAAGUUUUUGACAUUGACGAAGGGUAGCAUGUCAGUGGAUGAGUACACCAAUAACUUCACCGAUAAGAUGGAGUUUGCCUUGCGUAUCGUUCCAGACGAGCUGACAAAGGUGGAUCGGUAUGCGAAGGGACUUCCAUGGGAGUACGAGGUGCCGGUACGUCAGGCACUUACUCUAGAGGCAGCUAUCUGGGCUGCCAAGUCUGUGGAGAACAUGAUCAAGGGGAGAACCACCGUCAAGGUUGAGGUUGGUGAGAAAAGGAAGUUUGAAGGAACAUCUGGUUCCAGUAAGAAGAGCAAAUUUUCGAAAUCUGAUUCGAAAAAGUUUGGAGGAAAAGGAGGCGAAGCAAAGUGGUGUGAUAAGUGUAAGAAAAAGCACUUUGGGAAAUGUAGCGAGGAUGUGACCUGCUACAAGUGUGGAAAGGUUGGACAUUUUGCCAAUGAAUGUCCGAACAACAAAAGGAUGUGUUUUGGGUGUAAUGAAGAGGGGCAUAUUUUGAAAGACUGUCCGAAGAAGAAGGAGGCAGCUAGGCCCAACAUUCCACCAAAGCCGAAGGCGAGAGCCUUCCAGAUGACACUUGAGGCUGCGAAAGAUGAAGCUGAUGUCGCUUCAGGUACCUUUCUCGUAAACGAAUUACCUGCUCAUAUAUUGUUUGAUUCUGGAGCCAACUACUCCUUUAUUUCGCAUGAGUUUGGUAGAAAGCUAGCUUUGCCUGUUGAUAGACUAGAUAAUGCUUUAUUAGUCGAAGUAGCUAGUGGCAAGUUUGUACCUGUUAGCCAUCGUAUGAAAAACGUCUUGAUCGACCUUAAUGGGAAUAAGUUUCUCGAGGAAUUAUUGCCUAUCGAACUAAAUGGUUUCGACAUCGUCUUGGGAAUGGAUUGGCUUAGCGCCAAUGAUGCCGAAAUUUUGUGCAAGAAGAAGAUAGUUAAAGUAAACCCGCCUGGGAAAGAUUCGUUUAUGGUGUAUGGGGACAAACGCAGAGUGAAUUCUGGAAUCAUUUCUCUAAUGAAAGCCAGAAAGUGUUUGACCAAGGGAUGUACAUCAUAUUUAGCAUUCGUGAUUGAUGCUAAGAAAGAAAAGAAGGUGAUGCAGAGCAUUCCAGUGGUGUGUGAUUAUCCGGAAGUAUUUCCCGAGGAUCUUCCUGGAUUACCACCUGAUAGACAAGUGGAGUUCAGAAUAGACUUGUUACCAGGAACCACGCCAAUAGCAAAAGCACCUUAUCGAUUAGCACCGACGGAGAUGAAGGAGCUGAUGAUGCAACUUCAGGAGUUAUUGGACAAAGGUUUCAUUAGACCUAGUUCAUCGCCCUGGGGAGCUCCGGUGUUAUUUGUAAAGAAGAAAGAUGGAAGUAUGAGAAUGUGCAUCGAUUACAGAGAGCUGAACAAGGCAACAAUAAAGAAUAGAUAUCCGUUGCCGAGGAUUGAUGACCUGUUUGAUCAAUUGCAAGGUUCGAGCUAUUUCUCGAAGAUCGAUCUUAGGUCAGGAUAUCAUCAGCUGAAAGUAAGAGAGCAAGAUAUCGAGAAGACUGCAUUCAGAACUAGAUAUGGACACUACGAGUUCUUGGUUAUGUCGUUUGGACUAACCAAUGCUCCAGCAGCGUUCAUGGAUUUGAUGAAUAGGGUUUGUAAUCCUUUCCUUGAUAAAUCCGUGAUAGUGUUCAUAGACGACAUUCUGAUCUACUCGAAAAGCCAGGAGGAGCAUGGCAGACACUUGCGAGAAGUGUUAGAAGUUUUGAAGAAGGAGAAGCUUUAUGCGAAGUUCUCCAAAUGUGAUUUUUGGAUUCGUGAGGUCCAAUUCUUGGGUCACGUGGUCAACCAAGAAGGGAUAAUGGUUGAUCCAGCGAAGAUCGAAGCUGUGACGAAGUGGGAACAACCGAAAAGUCCCACGGAGAUUCGAAGCUUUUUAGGAUUAGCCGGAUAUUACCGAAGGUUUAUCCAAGGCUUUUCUUCGAUUGCUACUCCAUUAACAGCUUUGACCCACAAAGGAGCUACUUAUGCUUGGAGUGAGAAGCAUAAAGAAGCAUUCGAGAAGUUAAAGAAGAAGCUAUGCGAGGCACCGAUACUUUCUCUACCCGAUGGAGUUGAAGACUUCGCUGUUUAUAGCGAUGCGUCUGGUGUUGGAUUGGGUUGUGUUUUGACCCAAAGAGAAAAGGUGAUAGCAUAUGCGUCUCGACAGCUGAAAGAGCAUGAAAAGAAUUACCCGACUCAUGAUUUGGAGUUGGCAGCGGUAGUUUUCGCUCUGAAAAUAUGGAGGCAUUACCUCUAUGGCACGAAGUGCAAACUUUUCACUGAUCAUAAGAGUCUCCAAUACCUCUUUAAUCAGAAAGAAUUGAAUAUGAGGCAACGACGCUGGCUAGAAUUACUUAAAGACUACGACUGCGAGAUACUUUACCACCCCGGUAAAGCUAAUGUUGUUGCUGAUGCUCUCAGUCGGAAAGUCAAUCUUGAAAGGAAGAGGCCAAGAGCGUUGAGAAUUGAAGUUGUCUCGACUAUUGUGGAAAGUAUAAAGAAAGCUCAAGAGGAAGCUUCUGAGAAAAAUGACCGAAAGGAGGAACGUUUGGGUAAAACGUUGGUGUUUGGUACUAACGGUCAUGGACUGAAGGUAUUCCAAGAUCGUAUUUGGGUACCUAAGUCAGGAGGAAUUAGGGAUCUUCUGAUGGAAGAAGCUCACAAAACCAUGUACUCAAUUCAUCCGGGUAGCACUAAAAUGUAUAGGGACCUGAAACCCUACUACUGGUGGCCGACGAUGAAGCUUGAUGUUGCAAAGUAUGUGGCCGAGUGUGUGACUUGUGCGAGAGUCAAGACACAACAUCAGAAACCUUACGGGAGUUUAGAACCAUUGCCUGUGCCUAUGGGUAAGUGGGAAGACAUUGCUAUGGAUUUUGUCACUAAACUGCCCAGAACAAAGAAUGGUCACGACAUGAUUUGGGUGGUCGUUGAUCGAUUCACUAAGAGUGCGCAUUUCAUAGCGGCCAGGGAGAAAUGGUCUAUGGAAAAGCUUGCGAAUUCUUACGUGAAGGAAAUUGUGAGGCUUCACGGUGUUCCGUUAACGAUUGUAUCGGAUCGUGAUAGCCGUUUCACCUCAAGGUUUUGGAAAAGUCUACAAGAGGAAAUGGGUACCAAGUUAUGUUUAAGCACAGCUUACCAUCCGCAGACUGAUGGUCAGAGUGAAAGAACAAUACAAACACUUGAAGAUAUGCUGAGAGCAUGUACCUUGGAAUUCCUAGGUAAUUGGGAUGAACAUUUACCGUUGGUAGAAUUUUCCUAUAAUAAUAGUUUUCACUCGAGCAUUAAGAUGGCACCUUAUCAAGCUUUGUAUGGACAGAAGUGUCGUACGCCGUCUUGUUGGCUUGAGGCUGGGGAAAAGCAGUUUAUGGGACCGGAGAUGGUUCAUCAAACUGCUGAAAAGUUGAAAAUAAUUAGGGAAAGAAUGUUAGCAGCUCAAGAUCGUCAAAAGAGCUAUGCUGACAAGAAGCGAAGACCGAUGACUUUUGAGGUUGGAGAUUCGGUUUUGCUUAAAGUCUCGCCGUGGAAGGGACUUAUAAGAUUUGGUAAAAGGGGAAAGUUGAGUCCAAGGUUUAUUGGACCGUUUAAAGUCCUUCAGAGGAUUGGGAAUCAAGCUUACAAGCUCGAAUUACCCGAAGAACUGAAUGGAAUUCACAACACCUUUCAUGUGUGUUAUUUGAGGAAGUUCACGGGAGAAGUUCCCGAUAUAAUUCCAAUUUCUGAAUUGAGAAUUGAUGAGAACAAAAGGUUGAUUGAAGAACCAGAGGCAAUUGUUGACCGAAAGACUAAGAAGUUGCGACGCAAAAUGGUUGGGUUAGUGCUUGUCCGAUGGAAACACACGAAUGGGCCGAAUCUCACCUGGGAGACGGAGAGUGACAUGUUGAGUCGCUAUCCGCAUUUGUUUGUUGAUGUGUGAUUCCGGGGACGGAAUCAUUCUAAGGUGGAGAGAAUUGUAACGCCUGUGUUUCCGGGCUUGCCAUUUUUAGCAAUGUAAUAGUCUAGGUUAACCUUUGUAACCCGUUUUGAAAUAAUAAGAUUGUAUUAUUUGAGUAUUAUGUGUUUUGUGCUUAAUUGCUUAAUUAUGUGGUUUGAUUAAUUAAGAAUAAAAAUAAGCGUCAAAAUUUAAGUGUAAAAUAAACUUAAUAUCUUUGGUUAAUGUUGUAGUAGUUGAAACGAGGUUUCCGAAUAUAUAUAGAACGCCCAAAUCUGACUUCGUAUGAGGAAGUUAUGAUUUAUCGAAGUUCCGGCUUAGCGAUAUACAGCCUGUUUUACUCGAUUUGAGAUCGAGCGGUUGUUAGCCGAAGCAAUCUAAAUGAGAAUCGAAGAUCUCAUUGUUGGUAUUGAAACGAUAAAAAGUUAGGCGAGAACGGACGUCAAACGAAGAAGUUAUGAAUUUAUAACGAAAGUUUCUGUCCCGGCCUAUUAAAAAUAAUUAAUAAAAAUAAAGUCAAAAUUAGCCGACGGAGUCUAAACGAAAGUCGUAGAGCGUGGUCUCACCUUCGCGUGGAUAUAAAGAACGUCGAAAACGGAGUUCGUAUGAAGAAGUUAUGAAUUUCCGAAGUUUAUUAAUCAUUUUGUAUUUAUUUUUAAUUCAAAAUUCGGAAGCAUUAUCCGAAGGAGUCACCGAUCUGAUCCGAGGUACGCCCCGCGUACUCGAGUACGCCCCGCGUACUCCGAGGGAUGUCGACACUCGCACUCGAGCACUUCGGAUACGUAAGCAAUGACGUUUUGGGCAGUACGCCCCGCGUAACGCAGUACGCCCCGCGUACUCCGAGGCUCCAGCCUCCUAUAAAUAGGAUGCGAGGGUUCCGGGUAUUUUUGCCAAUUCCCUCUCGUUUUCGUGUCGAAGCUCUGUGCAAAAACCCCCGAAGCUACCCCGAAGUCCCGGUAUCAUACUCUAGCCCCGAGGCAAGUCCCGAGAUCCUGAAGAUCCCGAAAAGUGCGGUUCCCGAGUCGAAGCUCUGCCCGCGAGAAGUUCGAUUUUCGAGAAGAUCUUCCAGAUCUGCUGUGGAUUACUACUUCUAUAAGCCGUAGUGCUGUCCGAUCAUCUUCUGAUCAAGUGAGUGUGUAGUUAUUUCUUCUAAUACAAUAAUACGAAGUAUUUUAUAUAAAAAUACGUGCUAUGUGUAUAUAUUUGGUUGUGUUAUGUGUGAAUGAGUAUUCACUCUCUUCUAUCUUAUAGAUCUGCUUAUUUCUUUAUGAGAUAUGUGUUAUGUGUGUGUGUGCCUCAUCUGUUAUGUGAUAUAUGUGUUGAUUAAAGCAUGCUAUACAGGUUUUCUUUAAACUAUGUAUACAAAUGUAUAUUUUUAUCUACUAAUAUGUUGGGUAGAACAUGGGUAGACAGUUGGUGUGUAAUAAACAGAUGAGAGGCCUCGUUGUUGUUUGAUUGAGUCAUCUAGCGGAGUUUAGAUGACGACCACUGGCUAUUCUAGACAGUCUUGUGGAAACAUUAGCAGGUUCGCCACCUGUAGGUGUUAAUG